This 200-nucleotide unclassified non-coding RNA is filed under the name fungal sp. Its description in RNAcentral is "partial internal transcribed spacer 2". Lineage: Eukaryota; Fungi. The record is from RNAcentral.
UUAAAUUCAGCGGGUAGUCUUGCUUGAGCUGAGAUCAAAGUUUCAAUAGAGUUGAAGUAAAAGUUAAAAGAGACCGACUUAAUGCCCAAGUCCCGACAUAGUGCUUGAUGCCCAGAGGACAAUUGCCACACUAGUGGUAUCAAGGACGCCAAUAUCCUUCACCUACCUGAAUUUAAAGGGACCCAUCGCUUGCGCGAUGU